GAUCCGUUCGGUUUAAGUUAGUUCGUUCUCUCUUUCUCAAUUUCUAAACACCCUCCCAAAAAUAAAAAAACAAGAAUACAAAAGCAAAACAAAAAAGAAGGAGCACAUUGUAUGUUCCUCAAGGACCCACUUAAAUUUAGUUAUUUCACAUCAACAGAGAAUCUAGUUGGUGUGUGAUUAAUUAAGACUGAUUAAGAUGAUCAAAAUGAAGAGGGUGUAGCUGAGGCACAGUACAUGCCACUAGUGUGAUUCACUAGUACUUCUCUUUCAAAGUGUGAGACUUUUUCGACCCAAAGAAAAAACAAAAAGGAAAAGAAAAAGUGGGGACCUUGUGUCUACAUUUUAUACGUUGUGUGAGUGUGAACGAGUGAGUGGAGGUGUGAGAAUUAAUUUUAAGAUGCAAGAUGUGAUUGUGUGAUGUUAAGAUUUGCUCCACCUGACCUGAGAUGAUAUAAGUAAAUGGAUGGCCCAAGAAGUGACAUGCACUGGGACCCUUGGGUUGUUCAUGGAACCAGCAUUGCGACCCCACCCAGCACACUCACCCUUCAUGAUUUUGGCCCACAC
This 564-nucleotide long non-coding RNA is filed under the name Prunus persica (peach). RNAcentral describes it as "long non-coding RNA (PPER_LNC004177)". Lineage: Eukaryota; Viridiplantae; Streptophyta; Magnoliopsida; Rosales; Rosaceae. The record is from RNAcentral.